Molecule: non-coding RNA, 110 nt
Organism: Prunus persica (peach)
Lineage: Eukaryota; Viridiplantae; Streptophyta; Magnoliopsida; Rosales; Rosaceae
Source: Rfam
UUGGGAGCUCACUAGUUUCCAAGUCAUGGGAACUCUAAAGUUAAGCGAGUUUGGGCUAGAGCAAUCCUAGGAUGGGUGACCCACUGGGAAGUUGUUCGUGAGUUCCCAGA